Molecule: long non-coding RNA, 1901 nt
Organism: Triplophysa rosa
Lineage: Eukaryota; Metazoa; Chordata; Actinopteri; Cypriniformes; Nemacheilidae
Exons: 3
Source: RefSeq, a predicted model, not a curated record
UGUUAACACGUUAGUUUCACACGUUUUGGCCUUAAUGGCGUUCCAUAUUUAGGAAGUUGUGUUAGAUGAGAUAGGCUCAUAGUAAGCAUUACGUCAGUGCACGUUUACAGCUUAAUGAAUAAUUACAAUAAAACGAAGGCGCGAAUCACCGCAUUAAUAUUUAUCAGAAGGAUUACAAGCUAUUACGACAGGCAGUGUCAACGUGAAAACACACCUUCGUUUUAUUUGAAUUAUUCAUGAUGUUGUGACCCAAACGCUACGUUAAGCUUACAGUUAGUUUACCUCAUCAGCCAUCAUAAACCACGGACAUUGACGGAAGAUAAACGUACACGGAACAGGCAAAAACUACCACCGAGGAAUACAGGUAGAAAAGCCGCAGAAGAAGAUAACGAGGAACAGUUUCUUUGGGAAAAUGGCUUUGGACACCCCGUUCUUGUUAACUGCAACUGCACUUGUAAAGGAAACAUCCAGGCUUGCACAUGCACAGACUAGCGAGCAGCUUUACAGGAGCAAAUAAGAAAAACACAGGAAGAUUAUGCGCCUGUGUUGAUUCACAAGCUUGACAGAUGCUGAUUUGGAUGACAACAUAAUAAUCAAUAAACCAGAAGCUGAAUCUGCUUGUUGCGGGACUGCAUACAUUAACAAAGGAGUUGUUUGGCAAAAUAAACUUGGACCAACCUGCCUUGAUGCGCACCAAGCCAUGUACCGCACAGGUGGAUAUAUGAAUGCUUAUUUAAAAUUAUUUUCCUGUGCACACAUGAUUAUUCUGCCUUAUAUUGUUGUAAGCAAUAUUAGUUUACACACCUCAAGUUGUUGUGUCUGUGUUUAUUACAGAAAAACCUUAAAAGCAUGUAAGCAUAUCUGGCUCAGGGUCAGCAAGUUACUGGUUUCAAUUAUGCUUCAUUAGUUGCUGUAACAUCCUUGUCUGCUAUACAAACCUAUUUUAUCUAUGCAGUUUCUUUGUAUGUUUCUCUUUUAUCAUAAUGUGUAACUUUGUUACACUUUCUAUGAGCGGCCUCUACACUAAUAUCAGUUUGUUUUGUUUUCCAUGCCCCGUCCUGGAGUUCCCGAAGACACCAGAGGUCGCCAGUCCAAGCUCCGGGUUGUGGCCUGAUGCUCUUCCCAGUUCAGCCAGAUGCUUGUGAUGAUGGGCAAUCCACCUGAUGACAACUAACAAUUACCAUACUUUAACUUGAACAAAUAUAUUCUUUUCAUACGUUUUGGUAUUAUUGCAAACUGUUCUGGUAUAUUGUAAUUUAACAAUAUUUAAAAUAAUAAUAUACCUAGAUUAAAUAUACUUCAAUUAAAUAAUUGACCGUUUCUGACAAUCCAAGAUAACAUUUAUUUCAGUUUCAUCAGUGUACAUUGCAUUGAGAAAUAAUACCAUGUGUCUUAAUAUCAUAUACUUUUUUAAAAUUAUGAUGUAUGUACAGCUGCUUUGCAACAAUGAUAAUUGUGAAAAGCGCUAUAUAAAUACAAUUGAAAAUUGAAUAUUUUGCAGGUAGGAAUUGUUAGCUUAAUUCUUAGCUCAUUGGUUAGACUUAGUCAGUUUAAAUGUGUUUAUAUAAUAUAUAUGUAUAGUUAUGUGUAAUGUUAUUUGUAAUCUCCAACGCUGCUCCUGGAGAGCUACCAUCCUGCAGACUUCAGCUCCAACCCCUCUUCAGCACAUCUGUCUGUAUUUAUCCAGCAACCCUGAACACUUUGAUAGGAUGGAACAGGUGUGUUUGAUUGGGGUUGGAACUGAUAUCUUCAGGACGGUAGCUCUCCAGGAGCAGGGUUGGAGAGCCCUGGUUUAAGUUAUGUGUUAAAUGUGUAACACCGUGGUCCUGUGAGACAUAUCAUUUCUUUGUAUGUCCCCACAUAUAACAGAAUGACAAUAAAACUGAGCUGACUUGAAUGUG